GAGGGGGAGAGGGAGAGGGAGGGAGGGAGGGAGGGAGAGAGAGAGAGAGAGAGAGGGAGGGAGAGGGAGAGAGAGACGUGGUUAAGUGUACGUUUUAAAGGCUUGGAAAAAGGGUGGAGGGGAGAUUCAAGGGUUGACUUGAGGAUGAUUGAAAUUCUUUCUCACUGCGUGUGUAGCUAAUCUGCACUCUGUAAACCCUACAUAAUAGGACUCUGUGGUCCUAUAUAUUGGGCAGGAAAUGCUUCUGUUGUGUGUUUAUGUGUGACUGUGUACACCUAUCUAAGCUCACACACACACACACAUGUGUGUCUGUUUGCUGGAACCUGAGCCAUCAGGUGGGUGGAGGGGGUCAUGGGGGAGAGUGGCCAUCUCCUUGUUUACAUCAGUCUGCAUCAAGAGACACACACAAUGGACAGGAGGUGUGUGUGAUUCUCGCCGUAGGGUGGUGGAUGACUAUGUGUCAAUGUACAAAUAUAAACACAUUUCCUGUGAGACAGUAAGAACGGGCGUAAUGCCGUGAAGAGUCCGGAAUGAGAUUUCUGGGUAGAUUAGGGUUGUGGUAAGUAUGUGGUUGAGUGGGUGGAGGGGAAGGAGGCAUAUGGGGGGGGGGGGGGUACAGAAAUGAUGGAGGUCUGGUGUGAGAAGAAGAAAGAAAGGGAGAAAUGGGGCCCAGUAUUGUGACAUACAUAGUUCUACAUAGAGGGAGGGAGAAAGGGGGGUAGAGAGAGAGAGAGGGGGGGUAGGGAGGGAGGGUGGGAGAGAAGCCAUUUAAUCAAGCCUGUUUUUUUUUUUUCAAUUUCCUGACAUCAUUUUGAUGACUCACCAGUUGAACUGAAAGAGAAGCAUCACUCCAAAGCGUCGUCAAGGACAAUAAGUAGGCUGUUGGCUAUUGACAUCAUGGCCAACGUAGAUGCUGUUAGGUCUGACCCUUACCCUGUCAGUCACAUCACUAUAACCUAAGUGUGUGUGUGUGUGUGUGUGUGUGUGUGUGUGUGUGUGUCCUGUUGCCGUUGGACCAGGCCUUAAAGCUGUCCCAUGCCAGCACAUAGCAGUGAGCUAACCUAACAUGAUCAUGGCUGUGUGUGAAUCGGGGGGGGGGGGGGGGGGGGGGUACUGGGCCCGCCGCCGCCGCCGCCCAAAUAACCUUACGUCGCAGUUGAUUGGUCGGUCAGUCACCGGGUCGAUUUGCGGCUAUGUCACCAGUAGACGAGGGGCUAAGUCCCACCGCAGAUGCCAGCGUGUCUGCCGGUCCAACCAUGACACAGUCGUACCACUGUUACCACCUCCUCACGAAUUAGCUUCGGGCUCUGACCCGUGGCGCUGCAGGCCGGCCCGUGUGAGCAGGCGACUGGGGGCCGGCCCCCGCUGCAUGACGUAGCUGCUGUUCUGCGAGGAGGUUCUGCACACUCCUUUGCACGGUGACAGGCGGAUAGCAACACACUCAGCCCAGUAGCAGCCCGCAGCUCUGAGCCCGCGGCACCAUGACGGAGCCGGGGAGCGGGACAUUCCUCCGCCAUGGGGACCCCACCCCGGAGCCAAGGCAAACAGUGGCGUUGGGCCGGUCCUGAGGCGGAUCUACGGGUGGUGGUGGCGGCCUGUGUUCGGUGGACACGGUUACCAGCAUGCCUUGACCCCUGGACAUCGUGGCGCAUGAAAGGGAGGCAUAAAGGAAGGGCAGAGCUUGGGAGAUGGAAGGGGACUGAAGGGGGCCGACUCUGGAGCCAAGUCAAACAGGGGCGUUUGGCCGGUCUGAGGCGGUUCUACGUGUGUCGGUGGCAGACUAGGGAGGUCAGCUGGGCAGUGGUUAGGGGACACGGUACCAGCAUGCCUUGACCCCUGAACAUAGUAGAGCAUUUACAUUUAAGCGUUUUUGCUGAUGCUUUGAUCCAAAAGCGACGUGCCACCGUACAUUCACACACCGAUGGCGGAGUCAAACCAUGCAGAGCGACAGCCAGCUCGUCAGGAGCAAAUCAGGGUGAGGUGUCUUGCUCAGAGACACCUCGACACUCUCGCUAGGAGGAGCCGGGGAUCGAACCAGCAACCUUCCGGUUUUCCAGCCGACCCUCUCUACCCCCUGAGCGACUUCUGCCCAUACUGCACGAAAGGAAGGGAACAGCCCAGGAGCCUCCGUGGGUAAGGGGGAGCUGGAAGGGGGCCGGCGCCCCGAUCUGGGGCCCUGGGGGGAGGGGGGGCGGGACCCCGGGGUCGUCCUGGGAUGUGUUCGGCCCGUCGGUGAACCGGGUCACAGAGCGUAGCUAAUGAGGUGCGAGGGGAGCGCUAAUCUCACGUUUACACGACCCCUCCGGCGCGCGCACACACACACACACGUAUUGAUCGGCAAGCCCAGCGCUCCCGGGACGCCCGCCCGCCCCGCCAUGACCUCAUGGUCACACACGCGCACGCGCGCACACGCACGUAGCGUACGGCACGCACACACGUAGCGUACAGCAUGUGCACCGUCUCCCACACACUUUAGCACUUAGCUGUAAUCUGUGUUUGCCUGACAGAGAGCUGGGGCGUCGCCCUCUCAGCAGGAUAAACACUUGUAAAAAAAGUGUGUGACACGAGUCACCCCCCUGAACUUAGUGCCUGAAGCAGGCGCCAACACACACUCAAAUAUACUCAGCACACGCACACACACACACACACACACACACGUCAUGCUUACAGUACUUUUAACAAUGCAUUUUUUUUUUAUCUCUUACAGAUACACAAAUAGUAAGUGUCUGUGGCACCAAUCUCUGCUCAGUGUGUGUGUGUGUGUGUGUGUGUGUGUGUGUGUGUGUGUGCGGCUGUGUGUGUGCCUGGGUACCGAAGCCAGUCUAAGUGGUGCCAAGCGUCGGGGUAGCGAGGGGCUGUGCUGGGGGAGAAGGGCCCCUCUAUCUUAACAAGCCCCCGGUCUGACAGCACUCAGCCACCCCGCCUGGCCCUCCAUGGGCCUUCCACCCUUCACUGCUCCGGCUCACUUUCCCUCUGCUUAUCAGUCUGGCUGUCUGUCUGUCCAUAUGUCCAGCUCACCCCCGCCGUCAGGGAGGGGAGGGGACAUGGGAGGGUGUCCUGCUUCCCUCAGAUCCUCUGAGUGGACGGACGGACCCGCUUGGCUGCAGUCCUUUUAAUAUAACACACAUGUGCGUCUGGAUUGUGUUGCCAGCUCUAUCAGUGCCCCUCCCCCUGCAGUAUAGAUAUAUUUUCGUGAAACUAUUUCACGAAAAUAUUAACAGUUACAGUUGAAGACAAUUUAGAGGAUCAAGCAGGUAGUAAGUAACUAUUUAAAGACAUCAGAAUUGCGUUUCUAGUAGUUGUCGUUGUAACAUCUCAACAUAGCCAAACUCAGGCCAGUGAAAGCUGUUCUUAGUUCACCCACCCUGUGUAAAGUGUGCUUACAUCGCACUCUUCAGCUGUGGAAUCUGAGGUCGGGGGGGGGUCAGUGUCUUACCAGAGGACUGUCCAACUGAUGGGGUUCAACUCCUGGCCUCCGGUCCAAAGGGUGCGUGUCCCUGCCCCCGGUCGCCCCGGUCACCCUCCUCCUUUCACGGCCCGGCCCUCCGUCGCCCUCUCGACCUCGGGUCAGGGGAAGCGAGGCUUGUAGCGGGCAGUGACCCCACAGGGCCCGCCAACCGACCCGCCUCGGCGCUGGAGGACGGGACGGGAAAGGGAACGGAGAGAGGGAGAGUGUGGCAGGGUUUCCCUGGAUGAACCCCCUUUUUAAUCUGGCCCUGACCCCGCAACUUCUCUCUCUCUCUCUCCUCCCCCUCACCCCCUGACCUCUGACCCUUGAACCCCAGAGAGCCAGGACCUUGGAGCGAGGUGUCACCGGACAUCCGCUGGCUCCUUUCAUGGGAGGGGGGGGCUGGGGCCGCUCGAGAGCCCGGGAGGGGGAGGGCGGGAUGGGUGGAUGAUGGAGGGGUGAAUGACAGACGGAUGGAUGGAGAGAUGACGGAGGGGUGAAUGAUAAAUGGACGGAUGAUGGAGGGAAGAAUAAUACAUGGGUGGAUAGAUGAUAGUGGGGUGAAUAUCAUAGAUGCGUGGAAAUGUAGAGUACAUUUGCUCACAGUGUUUAUGCAUGGAGCGGAUGUUUGGAUUGUGUAAAGAGAGAGAGGGAGGGAGAGAUGGAGUCCUGUGAAUCCGCUGGUGUUGCCAUGUCAUGGAGCCAAGAGGUUUCGGCUGUCCUCGGUUACUGAAACAUUGUGUCCCUAAACCACCGCCAAGACUCCAAGGCAACCGUGUCAUUAAAAUAAAUAUUUUUGGAGCGAACAAAUAUUUCUAAUUAGCAUUUUAUUAAUAUGUAUCUAUUGCACCUUUCAUUGCUGGGGACAAUCACAAAUUGCUUUGACAUUGCAUUUAAAGCAAUAAAUAUAUAUGCAUUUAACAUUGCAGACUAAAUUAUGAUCACAGAAAGAUUAUUAUGAUUAUUUCUGCUCGCUCUCUGUUGACUUGUUCACAGUUCAUUAAGGCACUGGGAUCCAAAGAAGGGAGAAAAAAUAUCGGUGAGGUUAGCAGUUUUCUAAUGUAAUCUGGUAGAAAAGAAUGCUGACUCUGCUGUUUGGGUUCGGAAAGGUAGAUUAUUCAUUAGUUCAUCAGCAACGGGGUGAAACUCGUAUGUAAAUUCAACACUUGAAGCCCCAAAAGUGAUCCCCAGAAAAGAAUGUGGAAACAUGAAAUCUCCAUAGAGUGGGAGAGAAACAUAUCUGCAGGGCUUUUUCCAGAAAGACCUUUAUAUGCCUCCGAGUUGAAAAAAAAAAACACAGAACUAAAUGUUAAACAUCAUACAAUGGAGACUGUCCUGAGUGGGAAACUUGUUCCCCUUCAGUUUCCUGCAUGGUCCUUGGUUGGCUCUAAAUUCCCUAAAGGUCACUGGGCGCAUGAAAGUGACCGCCAACACUAGAAUCCCCUCCGCAGUUGCUUCUUGCUACCCUUCUCAGCAGCAUGACGGUGCUUCACUGUAGCCGGCUCUGAGGUCACCGAGGUAUGGACCUCGGGCAUUUUGUAGAGAUAAAAAAACAAAGUUCGAACCUAAGCACUGUAUACAAAAUCAGCAG
Gadus macrocephalus (Pacific cod) is the source of this 5039-nucleotide long non-coding RNA. RefSeq lists it as uncharacterized. The transcript has 2 exons. The record is from RefSeq and is a predicted model, not a curated record. Lineage: Eukaryota; Metazoa; Chordata; Actinopteri; Gadiformes; Gadidae.